Molecule: non-coding RNA, 1512 nt
Organism: Diceros bicornis minor
Lineage: Eukaryota; Metazoa; Chordata; Mammalia; Perissodactyla; Rhinocerotidae
Source: the annotation of a RefSeq genome assembly
GUGGAGACAUUGUGAUGACCCAGAGUCCACUCUCCCUGCCCGUCACCCCUAGAGUGCCAGCCUCCAUCUCCUGCAGGUCUAGUCAGAGCCUCCUACGUCGUGAUGGAUACACCUAUUUGGACUGGUACCUGCAGAAGCCAGGCCAGCCUCCACAACUGCUGAUCUAUGAGGAUACAUCAGUUCAACUUCUCAAAACGAGAUUCCCUGCUCAGCUCCUGGGGUUGCUAGUGCUCUGGAUCCCAGGAUCCAGUGGGGAUAUUGUGAUGACUGAGACCCCACUCUCCUUGCCCAUCAUCCCUGGAGAACCUGCUUCCAUCUCCUGCUGGUCAAGUCAGAGCCUCCUACAUAAAAAUGAAUAUAACUAUUUUCAUGUGUCCCUACGGAAACCUGGCCAGUCUCCAUGGGAACUGAUACGUAAGAUUGCCCACCUUAUCCCCAGGGUCUCAGACUGGUUCAGUGGUAGCAGGUCAGGGACAAAUUUCACACUUAAAAUUAGCAGAAUGGAGGCGGAGGAUGUUGGAGUCUAUUACUGCGUGCAAACUCUACAACAUUCUCCCACAGCCCUGAACACAAAAGUCCCUUCUUAGCACGGCCCAUCUGUCCAAACGUGUUUCUUCUCUUGGAUCAGUCCUGGCUGAUUCUCCGAGUCUAUGUAAGAGCAAGAUUUUGGAGAACUCUGGGGAAGAGGUUGCAGCUGGACCAUGAGUGCCUCAGCUACACCUUCAGGAACACACAGGAAGACCCUGUGUGCUGCAGCAACCUGGGCAUGGCAGAACCAGCAGGAAAAUGGAGGGGCUUCAAGUGCCCUCUGAGUACCCAGACAUAACAAAGGGAGAGCUGACUUGAAAGCUCAUCCUAUUCCUCACUGCCUUGCGUACAUGUAUCAAUUCAACUCACUUGGCCUAAAAGCCACGGAGUUGAGGAUGUUUUAUGACAAUACAAAACCAGUACAUUUUUUGGUAUUUUUUUUUCUUUUAGCAGUUACUAGUAAACAUUCAGCAGGAAUGUAUUUAGUGAUAUUAAGUCACUAUUUUUCUCCCUUCCACCACUUUUGACUUCCAAUUUUUCUUAGCAUACAUCCUUCUUCAGGAUGAGGGUAGGCACAGGAUUUUAUACUACUGUCCUCAGGGAAUUAGCCAAGGAAAACUAGUCACAGUCUUGUAUUGACCUAAAACCAAUAAACAGCCAACUAUUUUACCAGUAGAAGGGGUUUAUUUGGGAAUGACAAAGAAUUGUGGAAAACCACACAAGUCCAGAGAAACAUUCUUGUGCGAAGUCCGGAGGGGCGUUGUAAAUGAAGAGUCCAUUGGAGGAGAAUGAGAGUUUGAAGCGUAGUGGCUUUUCAUUGGCUGAGUUAUGGUAUUUUCUCACUGGCUGAACUAGGAGGAAUUUCUUCCUUCCUUCUGCUGGUGUCGUAAGUAGUAUCACAUCCCAUCUGAGAUGCAGGACAUGGCUCUUCAUUUUGGGGUCUCUUGUGUGCCGUUGAGUGGCACAUGAGUGAGAGUACUCUCU